UACGGAGGAUGCGAGCGUUAUCCGGAUUUACUGGGUGUAAAGGGAGCGUAGGCGGCAGGGCAAGCCUGAUGUGAAAACCCGGGGCUCAACCCCGGGACUGCAUUGGAAACUGCCGAACUAGAGUGUCGGAGAGGCAAGUGGAAUUCCUAGUGUAGCGGUGAAAUGCGUAGAUAUUAGGAGGAACACCAGUGGCGAAGGCGGCUUGCUGGACGAUGACUGACGUUGAGGCUCGAAAGCGUGGGGAGCAAACAGG
Molecule: ribosomal RNA, 253 nt
Filed under: uncultured Ruminococcus sp.
Lineage: Bacteria; Bacillati; Bacillota; Clostridia; Eubacteriales; Oscillospiraceae
Description: partial 16S ribosomal RNA
Rfam family: Bacterial small subunit ribosomal RNA
Source: RNAcentral